AAAAAAAAAUAUUAUGAAACUAUACUUUAAAAAAGUCUUACAAACGUGCCAAAAAAUAACCUAUGAUGCUCGGACUCUUUUAGAAGGAUCCGACAUGGACACAUAUCAAAGUGUCCGAUUCUUUGAGUUCUAAAAUCAAAGACUCGUGGACACGUUUUAUAAGGAUCGGACACUUGGAUUUGGACACGACAAAUAUUUUUUUUCAGAUAAUAUGAUACUUUUUAUAAAUAAAUAUCUAUUAUUAUAUAUAAAAUACUAUAUAGACUUUUGAAUAACAAGGGUAAACUAAUAUUUAAUAUAUAUAUAAAUUUAUAAUAGGGACAAUGUCAAAAGUUUAAGGAUUAAAUUAUACUGUAAAACAAAUAAUUAGAGAUAGGUUAUUAUAUCUCGUCCAAGAUGAAGUGUCCAUUUUCCAGAUGGUAUUAGGAUCCGGAUCCAAGUGUCGGUGUCGGUGUCGUGUCCUGUAGACACGGGUACGGCAGGGGUUUUGGAAGAGUCCAAGCAACACAGAAAAUAACGUAUGCAACUCAAUGGGACAAAGGGAGUUUUAAUUUACUAAUCUCACUCUACACUUACUUCACUGUUUGUACAUCUUUUUGUCAAAUAAUUACAAAGUGUUUACUGUCUUAGUUCACUAGUUUCUUCUCUUUGUGUUUAGUGUUUAUAGUUUUGUAUUUUAUUCUUGUUCUGAAAAAGAUUGUUGCUUAGGCUCUUCUUGCUUCAAUUCAAUAUGUAAAUAGUAAUGUAGUGGGAAGAUGUUGUUAGGGAUUUGGAAUGAUAUAGGAGAGGUAUGUGAAGUAGUAUGAUUGAGGGGAUAAACACCGAUUUCCGUCUUUUUUAAAUAUGUGCAAACUUCUUAAAACUUUCUCUUUUCUCAUUAGUGACUCGGUCAAAGUCACAAGAGUUUGACAAGUUAAAUUUUGAAUCUUAAAAUGCGUGUGAAGGUUCAUGCUGCAUGUUCUAUUGAUGAAAACUAAUUUUUGAAGUCUGUUUACAUACAUGAUACAUGUAUCUAAUCAAUUAACUAGAAAUACUAGUCAUAUAUAGGUAGAAGUUGAUAGCAUGUAAUGAAAUAAUGGAUGGAACUAACAGUGCUAGCCAGUACAUUAGCAACUAAUAGUUGUGCACUAUGUAAACAGUAGGUGAGCCAGUACCUCUAAAACUAAUAAUAGCGCACCAUUUUAAUGGAGUAGUUUCAGGAACUCCUGGGCCUGACAAUGUAAUUUUGUACUUUUGGUGUUUUUGAAGAUAAGCACAACAGAUAAGAAAAGAAACAGCAGAGAAUUAGCAGAAAUAGAGGUAGAUCCACAAGAAAGUAGAGAGAAUCAAUGAGAAGGCAGAGCUUAGAGAGAUAGAAUGGGGUUAAGAACCCUAGAGAGAGAAAGACAAUCAGUUGUAAAGAGAGAAAGAGAAUUGCUGGAAAUCAUUCCGUUUCAUAUAUUCAACAUAAUUUGAAAGUACAUAACUUAACAACUAUUUAUAGACCAUGAACUCUGUAACUCAGUCCAGAAUAGACUAGUAAAUGAUUCUAUUGCUUUUUACUAAUUCUGUUUCCUCAUACUACUAUAGACUACUACUAAACUGAUUCCUAAUAAAUAGCAUUAACCAUCUAAAGAAACUGAAUUAAGCACAUGACAAUUGUGCUAAUUUAAUAAAUUUAGCCUGCUAACUGAAUUAAAAUUUGAGUUCAAAGAUAAUUUCAUAAAUAGUUCUCUGCCUUUUUUGGCGCAAAAUUGGUGUGUUCAAUUCAUCUUUCUAUCUGGUUAUUCUUUGAUUAAAUCUUUGAACUGCAGUCUUGUGUCAUUUAGCUGGUCUGCAGUCUAGUGUUUCUAGCUGCAUUUUAGAGUGUUUAGUCUCAUUGAUAUACAUGAGAGCUUUUUUUGCUGGGAGUGGAUGAUCAUUAAGGUAGUUGCUCAGUUUGAGUGACUAUUGCAGGGAAAAAAAGAUUCCAGGAAAUCUUUAUAAUCUCCACAAAAUGUAGUUUAGGGCUCUAUAAGUUUAUGUUUGAAGAGAAAACAGUACAGAAUGAAAGAGGCAGACAAUAAUUAAAAAAGGGAAGUCAAUGUCAUGUUUCUCUACUGGCAAAAUUGAAUAAAACCAUAUAAUGUCCAUUUUAUUAAAACUAAAAAGUUGAUAUUUCAUGUUUUCUGGACUGUGGAUAUAUAUAUCUUUGUUUUUUCAGCUGUGAGUACACUCUAAAGGCAAUAUCUUAGUUCUCCUAGAUUUUAAAAAUAGUUCUUGCAAGCAUAAGAAUGUACAAAUCACAAAUUAGAUGCAGUCUCAAACAAAAAAGUUGAACCAUAAAGAAGGAAAGACUCAAAUUAAAAGUAUAUGCAAGUUUUAAUUCUUAACUUAAUGAAGCCAAACUAGCGGGAUAUAGCAGACUGUCAACAAAAGGGAUUUCAAGUGGAUGAUCGAAUUUUUGAGUCACAAAGAGUUCAAAUCAAGGAUCUCUGUCCCAGUCACGCGUAAAUAGUAGAAAACAGUCGUGAAUUUAUAGGAAUAUAUCAAAAUAAGAG
RNAcentral lists this long non-coding RNA (2519 nucleotides) under Daucus carota (carrot). RNAcentral's name for it is "long non-coding RNA (DCAR_LNC004048)". Lineage: Eukaryota; Viridiplantae; Streptophyta; Magnoliopsida; Apiales; Apiaceae. The record is from RNAcentral.